UACAGAGGGUGCGAGCGUUGUCCGGAAUCACUGGGCGUAAAGGGUGCGUAGGCGGCCUGGUAAGUCUGGCGUGAAAGCCCAGGGCUCAGCCCUGGAAGGGCGCUAGAAACUGCGAGGCUCGAGUGCCGGAGGGGAGAGUGGAAUUCCUGGUGUAGCGGUGAAAUGCGUAGAUAUCAGGAGGAACACCGGCGGCGAAGGCGGCCCUCUGGCUCGUUGCUGACGCUGAAACGCGAAAGCGUGGGGAGCAAACAGG
Molecule: ribosomal RNA, 253 nt
Filed under: uncultured bacterium
Lineage: Bacteria
Description: partial 16S ribosomal RNA
Rfam family: Bacterial small subunit ribosomal RNA
Source: RNAcentral